This 254-nucleotide ribosomal RNA is filed under the name uncultured bacterium. RNAcentral describes it as "partial 16S ribosomal RNA". It matches the Rfam family "Bacterial small subunit ribosomal RNA", at positions 524 to 776 of the family's 1533-position model. The record is from RNAcentral.
UACGUAGGUGGCGAGCGUUUGUCCGGAUUUACUGGGCGUAAAGAGCGCGCAGGCGGUCGUUCAAGUCGCGUGUGAAAGCCCCCGGCUCAACUGGGGAGGGUCACGCGAUACUGAUCGACUCGAAGGCAGGAGAGGGAAGUGGAAUUCCCGGUGUAGUGGUGAAAUGCGUAGAUAUCGGGAGGAACACCAGUGGCGAAGGCGACUUCCUGGCCUGUUCUUGACGCUGAGGCGCGAAAGCUAGGGUAGCAAAAGGG